CCUACGGGGGGCUGCAGUAAGGAAUAUUGGUCAAUGGACGCAAGUCUGAACCAGCCAUGCCGCGUGGAGGAUGAAGGUCCUCUGGAUUGUAAACUUCUUUUCUCUGGGACGAAACCCCCGAUUUCUAUCGGGCCUGACGGUACCAGAGGAAUAAGCACCGGCUAACUCCGUGCCAGCAGCCGCGGUAAUACGGAGGGUGCAAGCGUUAUCCGGAUUCACUGGGUUUAAGGUGAGCAGGGAAGGCCGUGUAGAAAUCUCUGGGCUUAACCCGGAAACUGCCAUUGAUACUAUUUGUCUUGAAUGUUCUGGAGGUAAGCGGAAUAUGUCAUGUAGCGGUGAAAUGCUUAGAUAUGACAUAGAACACCCAUUGCGAAGGCAGCUUACUACGGAAUGAUUGACACUGAGGCUCGAAAGCGUGGGGAUCAAACAGGAUUAGAUACCCCGGUAGUC
This 450-nucleotide ribosomal RNA is filed under the name uncultured bacterium. RNAcentral describes it as "partial 16S ribosomal RNA". It matches the Rfam family "Bacterial small subunit ribosomal RNA", at positions 338 to 795 of the family's 1533-position model. The record is from RNAcentral.